GAUGAAGAACGCAGCGAAAUGCGAUACGUAAUGUGAAUUGCAGAAUUCAGUGAAUCAUCGAAUCUUUGAACGCACAUUGCACUCUCUGGUAUUCCGGAGAGUAUGCUUGUUUGAGUAUCUGUAAACAUCUCAAAUCUCUCUUCAAUUGCUUCAAUUGGGUCGAGAGAAUUGGAUUUGAGCGAUCCCGACUCCUUCGUCAGAAAGAGGAGGGUCGCUUGAAAUGCAGGUGCAGCUGGACAUUCUUCUGAGCAAAAAGCAUAUCUAUUUAGUCCCGUCAAACGGAUUAUUACUUUUGCUUCAGCUAAUAUAAAGGUUGAAUGAACUACCAACGCUGAUUGCAGGAAAACAUGUUCGGUUAUUCGGACUUGUAAACUCGAUCUCAAAUCAAGUAAGACUACCCGCUGAACUUAAGCAUAUCAAUAAGCGGAGGA
This 431-nucleotide unclassified non-coding RNA is filed under the name soil metagenome. Its description in RNAcentral is "partial contains 5.8S ribosomal RNA, internal transcribed spacer 2, and large subunit ribosomal RNA". The stretch from base 1 to 120 matches the Rfam family "5.8S ribosomal RNA", at positions 35 to 154 of the family's 154-position model. The record is from RNAcentral.